RNAcentral lists this transfer RNA (73 nucleotides) under Myonycteris torquata (little collared fruit bat). RNAcentral's name for it is "tRNA-Asn". It matches the Rfam family "tRNA". Rfam says of the family: Transfer RNA (tRNA) molecules are approximately 80 nucleotides in length. Their secondary structure includes four short double-helical elements and three loops (D, anti-codon, and T loops). Lineage: Eukaryota; Metazoa; Chordata; Mammalia; Chiroptera; Pteropodidae. The record is from RNAcentral.
UAGGUUGAGACCAGUUGUAUAAGGUAUUUAGCUGUUAACUAAAAAUUCGUGGGGUCGGAGCCCACCAACCUAG